CACCCAGGACGGUGGAUCACUCGGCUCGUGGGUCGAUGAAGAACGCAGCAAAUUGCGAGUCGACAUGUGAACUGCAGGACACAUGAACAUCGACGUUUCGAACGCACAUUGCGGUCCAUGGAUUCCGUUCCCGGGCCACGUCUGGCUGAGGGUCGGCU
Molecule: ribosomal RNA, 158 nt
Filed under: Eyprepocnemis plorans
Lineage: Eukaryota; Metazoa; Arthropoda; Insecta; Orthoptera; Acrididae
Description: 5.8S ribosomal RNA
Rfam family: 5.8S ribosomal RNA
About the family: 5.8S ribosomal RNA (5.8S rRNA) is a component of the large subunit of the eukaryotic ribosome. It is transcribed by RNA polymerase I as part of the 45S precursor that also contains 18S and 28S rRNA.
Source: RNAcentral